Molecule: long non-coding RNA, 626 nt
Filed under: Phoenix dactylifera (date palm)
Lineage: Eukaryota; Viridiplantae; Streptophyta; Magnoliopsida; Arecales; Arecaceae
Description: long non-coding RNA (PDAC_LNC020302)
Source: RNAcentral
UGUAUAGAAAACAAGGAUGUAAAUGUUAGAAAAACACCAGAGCAUCCCAAAUUAAAUGAGAGCAGAAAUAAAAAUAAAAAAACAAAUUAAAUUAAUUAGCCAAUCGCAACAAUUAGGAGAAAAGUUAUCCAAUGGUGAAGCAGGCAUUUCAGCUAACUUAAUAACAAGAGACAUAAAAGAAUUGCAGAAAAAUAUAGCACGAGCCCAUCUAUGUAUGGUCGGGAUUUUGGGAAGGAGAAAAUGUAAAUAUGCGACACAUUCUAGUAUUGAGCAAACAACUCCAGAUUUCUGACAAGCAAAAUACGAACUUUGAGAAUGUGGAUUCUCGAAGUCAAAAUCGUACCUUUAUUGAUACCAUCUUUAUUUCGAAACUAUCAACGGCCUCCAAAUCCUACAAAUUCUUCAGGAAUAACAGAAAAAACACAUCAGAAGAAAUUUAAUUACAGUUUUGUAAUUAAAGAGGCCUUAAAAAAAUAUAAUCUUCAAAAAACAAGAAAUUAAAAGGCAAAAAUGGGAAAAGGAAGAAGAGGCUCAAAUUCGCCACUUCCCGAAGUUCCCCGCCUAUUGCUAGAGAAGCUGACACGCAAAGAAGAGAAGAGCAAUUUUACAAGUCACCCAUCAUCUAA